This 78-nucleotide small RNA is filed under the name Flavobacterium chilense. RNAcentral's name for it is "Flavo-1 RNA". It matches the Rfam family "Flavo-1 RNA". The record is from RNAcentral. Lineage: Bacteria; Pseudomonadati; Bacteroidota; Flavobacteriia; Flavobacteriales; Flavobacteriaceae.
GCCUAGCCCUGAUAGAAGUGGAAAUCCUUUUGCUUUUUCUUUAAAAGCAAAAGAUUGAAACGGAUAGCAGGAAAUAGC